UACGAAGGGUGCAAACGUUGCUCGGAAUUACUGGGCGUAAAGCGCACGUAGGCGGCUUAGAAAGUUGGAUGUGAAAUCCCUCGGCUCAACCAAGGAAGUGCAUCCAAAACUGCUGAGCUUGAGUACUUAAGAGGAUCGCGGAAUUCCCGGUGUAGAGGUGAAAUUCGUAGAUAUCGGGAGGAACACCAGUGGCGAAGGCGGCGAUCUGGGAAGAUACUGACGCUGAGGUGCGAAAGCGUGGGGAGCAAACAGG
Molecule: ribosomal RNA, 253 nt
Filed under: uncultured bacterium
Lineage: Bacteria
Description: partial 16S ribosomal RNA
Rfam family: Bacterial small subunit ribosomal RNA
Source: RNAcentral